GAAAGACGUCACUGCAGGAAACAAUUUUUCGGUGAAAGAAAAUGAGGACAGAAUAAAUGUCCCGAAAGAGGAAACCAGCGGAUGUCGCGCUAAACAACAGCAGCACGUUUAAGCUUGAUCAGCUGUUGUUAGAAUUUAUUUAAUAUUAAUUUCUAGUAUCAGCUGAUGUUUGCUGGAGCCACAGCUGUAAAGCUGCUGGUCAUGAUGUCGGUUUGGAUAUGUGGUGAGAGGGAAACAUGAAGAUGAAACCAGGAGAUGUCCUUACUGAACCAUCAGAGCUGAACAGGUGAUGGAGAAACAGGUUUACCUUUUAGGUGACAUGGAUGAGUUGAAGUUAUGAACUGUUUCUGAGAGACAAAUAACACCAGGAUCCUUUUCUAAGUAGCUGACAGCUGGUAACUGUGCAGGGGC
Long non-coding RNA from Astatotilapia calliptera (eastern happy), 411 nucleotides. NCBI's taxonomy places the organism in Eukaryota, Metazoa, Chordata, Actinopteri, Cichliformes, Cichlidae. The record is from Ensembl.